GAAGUGUUUGACAUGAUGACCUUAUAAUUGCUUUAUUUAAGGAUGUGAUUAAUGAUCUGUGUUUUGCCAUGUUGUAAUUUGAUAUCGUAUAUGGAGUCUGCAGACAUCUGGCCUCUACCAGAGGGUAAACAUUCAUAAGGCAGCAUCCUACAAUCUUGUACACAGCUCACUGAAGUCACUGCAACAACUUUCAUGAAGAUAUGUGGGAUCUGGCUCAAACAUGAAGCUUUUAAUCAUCACUGAGGACUGCAUGUUGCCUUGUAAAGCCUCAGCCCUUGGAUGAAGAAUGUUGGGUGAGAAACAAGAGUAUCAGUGCCCUAGGCAGUGAUAGACUAACUGAUCAAGGAUGUCUCCUUUUUGGAGAGAAACACUAUCUGUGUUGAUCAGCCAUCCUUUGGUCCACUCUGGCUGGCAGAGAGGACUGCAGUUUGUCAGAGGAGAGUGUACACUAACAACUCCCAACUAG
This 466-nucleotide long non-coding RNA is filed under the name Apteryx rowi (Okarito brown kiwi). RNAcentral describes it as "lncRNA (ENSARWG00000017989.1)". Lineage: Eukaryota; Metazoa; Chordata; Aves; Apterygiformes; Apterygidae. The record is from RNAcentral.